GACAAGGAAUGAUUCUAGGACUUUAGCUGAAGAUUAUGAUGUUAUCCCUUACUUAUGCGACAAGAACAUUGAAACGGAUCAGCCAAAUGAACUAGGAAUGGAGGAAGUAGAGCUGGCAAGAGAAGCUUAUAUUGCAGCAGUUGCUGCUGCUAAAGAAAAUCAAGAUGAAGCAUCUUUCUCCGAAGCUGCCAAAGCAAGAUUAUAUCUGCAGUCACUUGUUCUAAGAACAUAAACAUGGAUUCUAAUAGGGAAAUUGUC
This 258-nucleotide unclassified non-coding RNA is filed under the name Hevea brasiliensis (rubber tree). Lineage: Eukaryota; Viridiplantae; Streptophyta; Magnoliopsida; Malpighiales; Euphorbiaceae. The record is from RNAcentral.